This 253-nucleotide ribosomal RNA is filed under the name uncultured bacterium. Its description in RNAcentral is "partial 16S ribosomal RNA". It matches the Rfam family "Bacterial small subunit ribosomal RNA", at positions 524 to 776 of the family's 1533-position model. The record is from RNAcentral.
UACAGAGGUCUCAAGCGUUGUUCGGAUUCAUUGGGCGUAAAGGGUGCGUAGGUGGUGAUGCAAGUCUGGUGUGAAAUCUCGGAGCUCAACUCCGAAAUUGCACCGGAUACUGCGUGACUCGAGGACUGUAGAGGAGAUCGGAAUUCACGGUGUAGCAGUGAAAUGCGUAGAUAUCGUGAGGAGGACCAGUUGCGAAGGCGGAUCUCUGGGCAGUUCCUGACACUGAGGCACGAAGGCCAGGGGAGCAAACGGG